GUGAGGUAAUGGCUCACCAAGGCGACGACGGGUAGCCGGCCUGAGAGGGUGACCGGCCACACUGGGACUGAGACACGGCCCAGACUCCUACGGGAGGCAGCAGUGGGGAAUAUUGCACAAUGGGCGCAAGCCUGAUGCAGCGACGCCGCGUGAGGGAUGACGGCCUUCGGGUUGUAAACCUCUUUCAGUAGGGAAGAAGCGAAAGUGACGGUACCUGCAGAAGAAGCGCCGGCUAACUACGUGCCAGCAGCCGCGGUAAUACGUAGGGCGCAAGCGUUAUCCGGAAUUAUUGGGCGUAAAGAGCUCGUAGGCGGUUUGUCGCGUCUGCCGUGAAAUUUCGGGGCUCAACCCCGAACUUGCAGUGGGUACGGGCAGACUAGAGUGUGGUAGGGGAGACUGGAAUUCCUGGUGUAGCGGUGAAAUGCGCAGAUAUCAGGAGGAACACCGAUGGCGAAGGCAGGUCUCUGGGCCACUACUGACGUUGAGAAGCGAAAGCAUGGGGAGCGAACAGGAUUAGAUACCCUGGUAGUCCAUGCCGUAAACGUUGGGAACUAGGUGUGGGUCUCAUUCCACGAGAUCCGUGCCGCAGCUAACGCAUUAAGUU
This 604-nucleotide ribosomal RNA is filed under the name uncultured Actinomycetes bacterium. RNAcentral describes it as "bacterial SSU rRNA". It matches the Rfam family "Bacterial small subunit ribosomal RNA", at positions 252 to 866 of the family's 1533-position model. Lineage: Bacteria; Bacillati; Actinomycetota; Actinomycetes. The record is from RNAcentral.